AUUGAACGCUGGCGGUAUGCUUAAGACAUGCAAGUCGAACGGUAACAGGUUAAGCUGACGAGUGGCGGACGAGUGAGUAACGCGUGGGAAUCUACCUUGUAGUGGGGGAUAAGCCAGGGAAACUUGGACUAAUACCGCAUACGCCCUAAGGGGGAAAGGCGCAAGUCGCUAUAAGAUGAGCCCGCGUCUGAUUAGGUAGUUGGUGGGGUAAAGGCCUACCAAGCCGACGAUCAGUAGCUGGUCUGAGAGGAUGAUCAGCCACGUCGGGACUGAGACACGGCCCGGACUCCUACGGGAGGCAGCAGUCGGGAAUAUUGGACAAUGGGGGAAACCCUGAUCCAGCAAUACCGCGUGUGUGAAGAAGGCCUGCGGGUUGUAAAGCACUUUCAGUUGGGAAGAUAAUGACGUUACCAACAGAAGAAGCACCGGCUAACUCCGUGCCAGCAGCCGCGGUAAGGAUGAGACGU
RNAcentral lists this ribosomal RNA (467 nucleotides) under uncultured bacterium. Its description in RNAcentral is "bacterial SSU rRNA". It matches the Rfam family "Bacterial small subunit ribosomal RNA", at positions 30 to 533 of the family's 1533-position model. The record is from RNAcentral.